GGAAGGAUCAUUAACACUAAUCCACAAAUCUUAACCGAGCCUUCAGUGCUGCAAUAGCGCAAGCUAGCGAAAGCGGGCAUGCUUCUGUUGCUGCAUCAUUAAACUAAUCAAACAAAGGAGCCUAACUAAGCUCAACAACCAAAAUCAAAUUCUCAACGAUGGAUAUCUUGGUUCCCAUAACGAUGAAGAACGCAGCGAAGUGCGAUAAGCAAUGCGAAUUGCAGAACCGUGAGUCAUCAGAUUUUUGAACGCAAUUGGCGUCGACUGGCUCUCCAGUCGGCAUGCUUGUUUCAGUGUCUUGUUAUCUCCUCACCCAAAUCAUAAUGCGAGAGAUACCCUUCUCUUGUUAAGUACGAAAGCACUCUGAGCUCUGCAAGCGUCUUCUCUUCGGAGGAGUUCGCACUCAAUGCAGCAGUCACAUUGCUUACAAUGUGAACUCAUUGAGAGUUGAGUCAGCGCAGUUUAUCUGCAAGUGUUUAGAUCUUUAAACUCUACUUGUAUCUGAAAUCAAGCAGGAUCACCCGCUGAACUUAAGCAUAUCACUAAGCGGAGGAAAAGAAAUUAACUAAGAUUGCCCCAGUAACGGCGAGUGAAGCGGCAAAAGCCCAAACUGAAAAUCUUCGUGCCUCGCACGACGAAUUGUAAUCUAGAGGGUAGAAGCUCACCUAGUUGUGGCGCAGAAGUGCCUUAGAACGGGCCGCCAGAGAGGGUGACAGCCCCGUAUGUGGUGCCACGACUUAACGAGCUCUAUUCAAUGAGUCGGGUUGUUUUGAAUUGCAGCCCUAAUCCGGGAGAUAGACUUCUUCUAAGGCUAAAUAUAUAUGGGAAACCGAUAGCGAACAAGUACUGUGAAGGAAAGAUGAAAAGAACUUUGAAAAGAGAGUCAAAAGACUUGAAAUCGUUGAGAAGGAAGCGGUAGAAAUUUAUUCUUCUGUCAUCAACAAAGUGUUCAGCUUUCGUAUUAGUACUACUCAGAACGUUAAAGGCUGACUGUACUACGUGCGGAUCUGAUUGCGGCGUUCUUGGCAGUGAGGCAAAAUGGGGCUUCAUUUCCAUAAAAGCUGGGUAAACCUGGGACGGUUCGCUGUUCAGUUUACUUGUGCUCGUGGGCGUGGUGCUCGAGGAUGCUUUGUGCGAUUUUGCCAAAAUGGUUUUUACCGACCCGUCUUGAAACACGGACCAAGGAGUCUAACAUAUAUGCGAGUGUGCUGGUGGAAAAACCGACACGCGUAAUGAAAGUGAAUGAUGCCAAGCGCAAGCAGCAGCAUCAACCGACCAUGAUCCUCUGGUGAAAGGUUUGAGUAUGAGCAUAUCUGUUAGGACCCGAAAGAUGGUGAACUAUGCCUGAGUAGGGUGAAGUCAGGGGAAACUCUGAUGGAAGCUCGUAGCGGUUCUGACGUGCAAAUCGAUCGUCAAACUUGGGUAUAGGGGCGAAAGACUAAUCGAACCAUCUAGUAGCUGGUUCCCUC
This 1469-nucleotide unclassified non-coding RNA is filed under the name uncultured fungus. RNAcentral describes it as "sequence contains 18S rRNA gene, ITS1, 5.8S rRNA gene, ITS2, 28S rRNA gene". The stretch from base 498 to 1469 matches the Rfam family "Eukaryotic large subunit ribosomal RNA", at positions 1 to 961 of the family's 3401-position model. Lineage: Eukaryota; Fungi. The record is from RNAcentral.